This 576-nucleotide ribosomal RNA is filed under the name uncultured Vibrio sp. RNAcentral describes it as "bacterial SSU rRNA". It matches the Rfam family "Bacterial small subunit ribosomal RNA", at positions 162 to 733 of the family's 1533-position model. Lineage: Bacteria; Pseudomonadati; Pseudomonadota; Gammaproteobacteria; Vibrionales; Vibrionaceae. The record is from RNAcentral.
GCUAAUACCGCAUAAUACCUACGGGUCAAAGAGGGGGACCUUCGGGCCUCUCGCGUCAGGAUAUGCCUAGGUGGGAUUAGCUAGUUGGUGAGGUAAUGGCUCACCAAGGCGACGAUCCCUAGCUGGUCUGAGAGGAUGAUCAGCCACACUGGAACUGAGACACGGUCCAGACUCCUACGGGAGGCAGCAGUGGGGAAUAUUGCACAAUGGGCGCAAGCCUGAUGCAGCCAUGCCGCGUGUGUGAAGAAGGCCUUCGGGUUGUAAAGCACUUUCAGUCGUGAGGAAGGUAGUGCAGUUAAUAGCUGCAUUAUUUGACGUUAGCGACAGAAGAAGCACCGGCUAACUCCGUGCCAGCAGCCGCGGUAAUACGGAGGGUGCGAGCGUUAAUCGGAAUUACUGGGCGUAAAGCGCAUGCAGGUGGUUUGUUAAGUCAGAUGUGAAAGCCCGGGGCUCAACCUCGGAAUAGCAUUUGAAACUGGCAGACUAGAGUACUGUAGAGGGGGGUAGAAUUUCAGGUGUAGCGGUGAAAUGCGUAGAGAUCUGAAGGAAUACCGGUGGCGAAGGCGGCCCCCUGGA